Molecule: transfer RNA, 69 nt
Filed under: Urocitellus parryii (Arctic ground squirrel)
Lineage: Eukaryota; Metazoa; Chordata; Mammalia; Rodentia; Sciuridae
Also listed under: 1 other name
Description: Spermophilus parryii (Arctic ground squirrel) tRNA
Rfam family: tRNA
About the family: Transfer RNA (tRNA) molecules are approximately 80 nucleotides in length.
Source: Rfam by way of RNAcentral
GGGCUUGUAGCUCAGUGGUAGAGUGCUUGCCUUGCAUGCACAAGGCACUGGGUUCAUUCCCCAGCACCA